This 254-nucleotide ribosomal RNA is filed under the name uncultured bacterium. Its description in RNAcentral is "partial 16S ribosomal RNA". It matches the Rfam family "Bacterial small subunit ribosomal RNA", at positions 524 to 776 of the family's 1533-position model. The record is from RNAcentral.
UACGGAGGGUGCAAGCGUUAUCCGGAAUUACUGGGUUUAAAGGGUGCGUAGGCGGUUUGUUAAGUCAGUUGUGAAAUCCCCUCGCUUAACGAGUGGGACUGCGAUUGAUACUGAUGAACUUGAAUCAGGUUGAGGUAGGCGGAAUGUGACAUGUAGCGGUGAAAUGCAUAGAUAUGUCAUAGAACACCGAUUGCGAAGGCAGCUUGCUGGACCUUGAUUGACGCUGAGGCACGAAAGCGUGGGGAGCAAACAGG